This 259-nucleotide ribosomal RNA is filed under the name uncultured bacterium. RNAcentral describes it as "partial 16S ribosomal RNA". It matches the Rfam family "Bacterial small subunit ribosomal RNA", at positions 793 to 1055 of the family's 1533-position model. The record is from RNAcentral.
GUCCACGCCCUAAACGAUGAAUACUCGAUGUUGGCGAUAUACAGUCAGCGUCUAAGGGAAACCGUUAAGUAUUCCACCUGGGGAGUACGUCCGCAAGGAUGAAACUCAAAGAAAUUGGCGGGGGUCCGCACAAGCGGUGGAUUAUGUGGUUUAAUUCGAUGAUACGCGAGGAACCUUACCAGGGCUAGAAUGUAAUUGGAAUAUAGAGGAAACUUUAUAGCUAGCAAUAGCCGGUUACAAGGUGCUGCAUGGUUGUCGU